Molecule: ribosomal RNA, 492 nt
Filed under: uncultured bacterium
Lineage: Bacteria
Description: partial 16S ribosomal RNA
Rfam family: Bacterial small subunit ribosomal RNA
Source: RNAcentral
AGUGAACGCUGGCGGUAGGCCUAACACAUGCAAGUCGAACGGCAGCACAGUAAGAGCUUGCUCUUACGGGUGGCGAGUGGCGGACGGGUGAGGAAUACAUCGGAAUCUACUUUUUCGUGGGGGAUAACGUAGGGAAACUUACGCUAAGACCGCAUACGACCUACGGGUGAAAGCAGGGGAUCUUCGGACCUUGCGCGAUUGAAUGAGCCGAUGUCGGACUAGCUAGUUGGCGGGGUAAAGGCCCACCAAGGCGACGAUCCGUAGCUGGUCUGAGAGGAUGAUCAGCCACACUGGAACUGAGACACGGUCCAGACUCCUACGGGAGGCAGCAGUGGGGAAUAUUGGACAAUGGGCGCAAGCCUGAUCCAGCCAUACCGCGUGGGUGAAGAAGGCCUUCGGGUUGUAAAGCCCUUUUGUUGGGAAAGAAAAGCAGCAGGUUAAUACCCCGCUGUUCUGACGGUACCCAAAGAAUAAGCACCGGCUAACUUCGUG